AAAGAGUCCAGAGUUCAAUAAAACAAAACACACUUUUCAGAGAUUUAGCAAUAAGCAACAAAAGAUAGAAAUUCAGUUUGUUCAGUUCAGAUUUUCCCCCCACGAGUGAAUCCUCUUCUCGAACAUAGAGCAUCUUUGCAUCUCUGGAUCUCGCUGCUGCAUGGCGCUGUUGUGUUUGUGUCAAACUCCGACACACAGAGCAGAGGACAGAAGCAGCCGCAUUUGGCGCUUGGCGGGUGUUAAUUUCAGACCCUGCAGGCAUCGUACGUCGGCACGGCAACAUUUUC
Molecule: long non-coding RNA, 287 nt
Organism: Sebastes umbrosus (honeycomb rockfish)
Lineage: Eukaryota; Metazoa; Chordata; Actinopteri; Perciformes; Sebastidae
Exons: 3
Source: RefSeq, a predicted model, not a curated record